GUGAUUAAAUCGAGCGUGUCUUCAUUGACCGCUCACCCUUCUCACCAUCCACAUACGCCUGUGCACUGUUUAGCCUGAGCCGGUUUUCCGGUCCAGGUUAUCAUUUCAUACAAACUCUAGUCUUAUGAAUGUAAACGUUUUAAUAACAUAAUA
RNAcentral lists this unclassified non-coding RNA (153 nucleotides) under soil metagenome. RNAcentral describes it as "partial internal transcribed spacer 1". The record is from RNAcentral.